Molecule: RNA transcript, 1195 nt
Organism: Panicum virgatum (switchgrass)
Lineage: Eukaryota; Viridiplantae; Streptophyta; Magnoliopsida; Poales; Poaceae
Exons: 2
Source: RefSeq, a predicted model, not a curated record
AGGCUUCGUUUGGAAACUCCAAUCCCCGCAGGGAUCCCUGCGUUUUCCCCGGGUGGGAAGACCACGGGAAUACAAUCCACGGGUUGAUUUAAUCGGACAUUUGGAACACCACGCGACAGGGUUCUCACGCCCCGAUCUGCCUCCUUUCCACGGGGAAACACGCCCCACCUCGACAGGUCGGGGAGCAAUCCCCCGUCUUCUCCCGAGUCUCGAGCUCUCCGUGUUGCUCGCGAGAUGCGACGAACGGCCGCCGCCGCCGCCGCGGCGAACGGCCGACCUUCUUCCCCACCUCCAUCGUCCCCUCCUCCACAGCUGUUGCUUCCACAUCUCCACACCUUUGCCUUCAUGGCCGCCACUACUUCCACGCCGUCGUCGUCUCCGUCUCCGUCUCCGUCUCCGUCUCCGUCUCCGUCUCCGUGGCCACCGGCACCUCACCUCCAAACUGUGGCUCAGCAUCUAUCUGUUUUCUGCCACCAAGCUGAACAAAGCAAGGAUAGGGUUACCAAUAAAGAUCCUAUUCUUUCUGAUUGGAUUUUAUUGUGCGACGGCCUUUGCUACUGUCAUCUCCUUAUAUUCAUAAAAGUUGUAUGUCAGGUUAAUGUCAUUUUCAGGCUUCAACAUACUUGGGUAAUCUGCUCAGCAAAAUGUAUGGUUAGUCAAUCACGGGGAUGUGGGCAUGUGUUCAUUUGAAUGCUCGGAAUAAUAACUAGCAUUAUGUUCUGCCAUGCUAGAACUGCUUUCAUUAGUUAAUUUAGCCAAGCUAUUUGUAGCAGUUAAUCAAUCAUAAAGCCUAGAACUGCUUUUAUUAGUUAAUUUGGCCAAGCUACUUGUAGCACUUAAUCAAUCAUAAAGCAGUUCUAUAUGUGCCACAAAGCAAUCAGUAAGUUUCUUGGGUCAUUUAUAUUAUGAUUUAUUUGAUCAUUUGCAGGAAAUGCAGCUACUUUUAUCAGCAUGCACAAGUCCAAAAUAGUGCCGAACCAAAUUCUUGCUGGAUAUUAGAUGGUACUCAAUUCAAAUUUUGUAAGAAUUGAACUUCAUUGUAGAAAUUCUGAAAAGUUGUAGCCUUUCUCAAUAUUGUAACCUCUUUUGUUGUCAUAGACAACUUGUGAGUGUAAAAAGUUGUAAGAACCUAUAUGUGAACACGAUUUUUUUUUAAAGAAAAUUUAUGUAAGGGUGCCGCAAAGUAUUGCCUAAA